GAGAAAGAGGUGGAGAAAUACUAAAUAUAAAUUUCAGCUUCAGAAUCAAUGAAGCAGUGCUGACUAUAGUCCCACCUCUUCUAUUGUGUUUUUUUCAGUGAAACACUGACCAACUGCCACAUGAAGAAACAGUGAUAGAUUAAACUUAAUACCAGACAAGCGGGGAUCUGGUUAGGGCAAGGAGUAAACUGUAGCAGAAGCUCUUGGUGCCCCAUCCAUAUCUCUACAGCCCUUAUCAUUUAAGUGCAUAAUAAUUAGUAAUUACUUUGGAGGGCAGGUACAGAUAAAAAGGCAUAAUGAGGGCUUUUGGUGGGUUGAAAAUGUUCUCUUUUUAGAUCCAGGUAUUGGUUGCACAGGGGUGUUCAGUUUGUGAAAAUUUAAUAAACUUAUGUGCAUGUGUGUGUCUGUACAAAAUUAAGGAAAGCAGAAUGGAGUUAAAAUCAGAAAUAUUGUUCUAGAAGUUAUCAGGUUUAACCAGGUUUUACAAACAGCCAAUUUUGUUAUUUAAAUAAUCAAAAUAUUUCCUUUAACAUUUAUCAUGAUUUCAACUGAAAUACUUUAUUACAGCCAGGAAACUGAUUUCUAUUGUAUCAUUAUUUCUUAGGUAGUUCUGUUGUAUUUAAAACUCUAAUGUCCAUACAAUAGCGUCAGAAUGCUUUUUUUUAAAACUCAGUUAAAAUGCAUGCCAGGCUUGACAGGUUAUGAUUCAAAACAUUAAAUGUAUCCUUCAAAUUAAUUUCUGUGAUAUUACUUUGAAAUGCUUUAAAACUGGCUUUCGACUUUUUAAUUUCAUUACAUAAAUCAAAACAGUCAAUAUUUCUUGGAUACUUACAUUCUCAUUAUAUCCCCUUUCUUCUUCCUUCUUCUUUGGACUAUUUUUUUUAAUUCAGAAAAAAAAAAAUCUUAUCUUUAUACCUUAACAUCAGAUGGUAAACCAUUUUAUUUAAUAUUCAGCCUGGUUAGAGAUUUGAAUGGCUAUAAUAGUUGGGGAGAGGUGGUAAUAGUAGAGACUGGAAGAUGCCUUUUUUCAGUUUAAUAUCAAGGUCAUGUUGUUAUUAUCAAACUUGGUUGCAUAAGGCAAUUUUUUAUGUUCAUAAACUCUAUUUUGAUAAAUCGAUCCACUCAUUCAACAUUUAUAGAAACAAAACUAUUACAACCAAAUAGGUGGAUCCUGCUCUCAGAGAACUCAUUGUCUAGCUACAUUUUGGGAUAGUGUGUCCUGAACCCCAUUAGGGUGUAGCAUAAGCUUGACAAAGGUAAUCUAACCAGCCUUAUUUUUCUAUUCUCGGUCAAUAUUCUGUCUCUAUACACAGACUAAAGAUAAGUAUGGAAUGAGAGUUCCUACAUAUAGGUUAUAUGGUAAAAUUUGUGGAAUAUGCAAAGAGAUAAAUGAGAUGUAUUUGCUUUACAGCAUUCACCAGGGCUUAGAAGACCCUGUGGCACCUGAAAGUGAAUGUGCAAUUGGAUUGGAGUUAUGCUGCAACAAUUAGCUGCUCAAUUGUGUGUUUAUUACAUAUACCAAGAUCACUUAAAUAACACUACAGGUCUUCCUCAAUGGUGAUUUUUAUUCUGAUGGAGAAGACAUGCCUGAAGUGUAUUGAGCAGAAGAGUGACAAGAUCUGACUAACCUGCUGCAGAACUAAACACCAAAAAAGCUUGAGUUUCUACUAAAUCGCUCUUGUGUUUCACUAGAGGUGGUUUCAGUUCAGCAACAAGGUGACCUCACAGCAGGAUAUUGAACCACUGCUGCUGUUUUAUGAACUUCUCAAGAGAUGAGAAUUCUGAAAGAAGGCCUUGAUUUUCUCAUAUUUUAUAAUAAUAUUCACUAAUUCAAUCAUUCAUCUGUUUUAUUCUUCAAUAAUAAUAAAUACGGUUUAAUUCAAAGAUAAAUUUAAAGAAGAGAAGAAAAAUGUUGGUUCCUGAAAUGCAGACAUUUAGGCAAUCUUCAAAACAUUUGCUUGAAUAAACAUUCAGACUUUAAUUUAGUGGCUUUGUUGCUGCCCAGUCUUUUGAAAGAUAUUUGAAAAUUCAGGAUACAUGUUUACAGAAGAGACAAACUUGACUUCAUUAUCUAGAGCCAGAACACAUAGUAUCUGUAUAUCCACGGUGAUUGGGACUAAUGCCAAGAUUUGAAAUAAUACCUCAGACAGUUCAGCUUCAGAGAGAGAAUAGCUUUUGAAAAAUCUAAAAUCUACCUUAGGAACGUACAUUUCUCUAAGCAAAGUGAGUAUGUAAACAAAAUGUUUUAUUAUCAGGGAUUUCUCCCUUUCCCCUUCAAUGUUCCCUUUCUCUUUCACCAGGCUCCCAGGCUCUUGACACUCCUGGUUCCUCCCAGUCCCCUUGUGAUUCCUUUAAUAUCUAUGCCUAUUUCUGAGAUAUCCCUUCCUCACUCUGCCCCCUGCAUACCCGUCAGUUGCCUUGUAAUGUCCCUUUCCCUGAAAGCCUCGUUAUUUACCUACAUUUAAAAUAUAGAUUAUAUUAGGCUUAUACCCUAACCAUUCCACAUGAGAUCUACACUGUAAUUGAGGCUUCUAAAAAGUGAUGUGGUAUGGAGGACCAUGAUCAGAUCAGUGGAGGCCUUUGGGAGACGGGGGAGCUUUGGAAAUCACAUCAGUGAAAGGUGUGGACAAAAACGGCCUUUUGUUGUUCCACAUCAUUUUUUAAUCGUAUUUUUUAAAGAAAAAAAUGAAAAGAUUCCCUCAAGUAAGUAUAUUAUUCUGGUUUCCUCAGACCAUCUCACUAACAUGUUUCAUUCACUAUUCCAGUAUUUCACUCGCGUUGGUGAGAAGAGACCACCAAACAGGCUUUGUGUGAGCAAUA
Molecule: long non-coding RNA, 2820 nt
Filed under: Homo sapiens (human)
Lineage: Eukaryota; Metazoa; Chordata; Mammalia; Primates; Hominidae
Description: HSALNT0301653
Source: RNAcentral